Molecule: ribosomal RNA, 220 nt
Filed under: uncultured Glomus
Lineage: Eukaryota; Fungi; Glomeromycota; Glomeromycetes; Glomerales; Glomeraceae
Description: partial small subunit ribosomal RNA
Rfam family: Eukaryotic small subunit ribosomal RNA
Source: RNAcentral
CCAAUAGCGUAUAUUAAAGUUGUUGCAGUUAAAAAGCUCGUAGUUGAAUUUCGGGACCAAUAUGUCGGUCGUACUUUGUACGUACUAGCAUCAUUGGUUUCUCCCUUCUGAAGAACCGCGAUGUCAUUAAUUUGGUGUCGUGAGGAAUCAGGACUGUUACUUUGAAAAAAUUAGAGUGUUUAAAGCAGGCUCGCGCUUGAAUACAUUAGCAUGGAAUAAU